UAAUACAGAGGGUGCAAGCGUUAAUCGGAAUGACUGGGCGUAAAGGGCGCGUAGGCGGAUGAAUAAGUUAGAUGUGAAAUACCAAAGCUUAACUUUGGGGCUGCAUAUAAUACUGUUUGUCUAGAAUAGGGUAGAGGGAAGUGGAAUUUUCGGUGUAGCGGUGAAAUGCGUAGAUAUCGGAAAGAACACCGGUGGCGAAGGCGACUUCCUGGGCCCAUAUUGACGCUGAGGCGCGAAAGCGUGGGUAGCGAACAGG
Molecule: ribosomal RNA, 256 nt
Filed under: uncultured bacterium
Lineage: Bacteria
Description: partial 16S ribosomal RNA
Rfam family: Bacterial small subunit ribosomal RNA
Source: RNAcentral